GGGCCCGUAGCUCAGCCUGGAUGGAGCGGCGGCCUGCGGAGCCGUAGGUCGUGGGUUCAGGCAAUGCCGCCCAGAAAUCCCACCGGGCCCG
RNAcentral lists this transfer RNA (91 nucleotides) under Pyrobaculum aerophilum str. IM2. It matches the Rfam family "tRNA". Rfam says of the family: Transfer RNA (tRNA) molecules are approximately 80 nucleotides in length. The record is from Rfam by way of RNAcentral. Lineage: Archaea; Thermoproteati; Thermoproteota; Thermoprotei; Thermoproteales; Thermoproteaceae.